Molecule: RNA transcript, 821 nt
Organism: Sapajus apella (tufted capuchin)
Lineage: Eukaryota; Metazoa; Chordata; Mammalia; Primates; Cebidae
Gene name: serine incorporator 3 pseudogene
Exons: 1
Source: RefSeq, a predicted model, not a curated record
AUGCAUCCACUAUGCCUUACUUGCUCUGCCUCAGAGCAAGUGAUCCCUAACCCUAUUCCACCAUCAAAGAGCAGGUCUUUACUGGAUUCAGAUAAUGUUGUUGGACUGUUUGUCUUUGUUUGCUGCAUUGUGUAUUCUAGCAUCCGCACAUCCAGUAGUAGCCAAGUAGACAAGCUGACCCUGUCAGGGAGUGACACUGUGAUCCUUGGUGAUACAAUUACCAAUGGUGCCAGUGAUGAAGAAGAUGGACAACCUUGGCGGGCUGUGGACAAUGAGAAAGAGGGAGUGCAGUAUAGCUACUUCUUCUUCCACUUCAUGCUCUGCUUGGCUUCCUCAUACAUCAUGAUGACCCUGACUGGCUGGUACAGCCCUGAUGCAAAGUUUCAGAGCAUGACCAGCAAGUGGCCAGCUGUAUGGGUCAAGAUCAGCACCAGCUGGGUCUGCCUCCUGCUUUACGUCUGGACCCUUGUGGCUCCACUUGUCCUCACCAAUCGGGACUUUAGCUGAACGAACCUCUGAGUGCCAAGGACACCACUGCAACUCACAAAGGUCUCCUUCACUGAAAACUCAUUUACCUUUUAAGUUUGUUUCAACUAAAAUAUUAAGUGAAUGCUUUGCAAAUUUGACUGUAGCCAGGUUUAUAUCAGAAGGAGAGAUUGAAAAAUGCUUGAUGCAGAAUCUAUACUUCUCAUUUGUCUGUACAUUAUGUUUACUUCUAAGGAUAUAGCACAAAGGAAACUUUUUUGUUUAAAGUGAACUACAGCUGUGCUGUGAAGAGAGUUCUUUAUAAAGACUGUAGGUUCUUAUAAUUUUGGUUUAAA